AGUUUGUUUGUGCAGAGUUAUUUUCCGUCAAUGACUAAGAUCGUUGGUACUCUCGUAUAGAAAUCGAGGUCUGUGGAAGUUAUUUUGCGGCGUCUCAUGGCCGGAAUUUCUGGUAAUUUUACAAAAACAAGGAUUUUCUCCCACAUCCAAAACUCUAAACUGUCAGAUCCUUCGUCAAGCCUCAUCUCUUGGUUGUUCGAUUCCGGUUUGCAUAUACAUGUCUCUCCAUUAAAACAUACAUCUUCGUAUUGAAUCAACUAAUUCAAGAUACAACUUUUAUUGUUCGAUUCUUUAUAGCGAUUUUGGUGCUGCAGGUAGUUAAGUGAACGGUGAACCGAUGUUGAAAAGAGUGAAUUCUCAGAAGAUGAAGUACAUGGUAACUACCUUAUUAGUGGGUAGGAAAUCUAUUAUGUUUAUGCUUUUUUUUUUUUAUUUAAGAUCAGCCAAGAUUAGUUACCUCAAAUCUUACACAUGUUUAUUUCUUUUCCUUUCGCAAUAAUAAGUUUGAAAAUUUGGGAAAUUUGUAGGCUUUUUAAAGAAUGUUUAUAGUAACCUAAAUUUAUAAAUGUGAUAUUUCGUUAUCGCUAUUGUUAUAAUAAAAGGAUGGUGAGAAGAAUAAGCAUUGAAGUUCGAUUGAGUAAUGGUGUUGAUAAUCUUAACCAAGGAGUUGAAAGUGGAAGUGAUGAUUUUCGGGAGGUGGGAGACGAGAAUGAUUCGUCAUAACAUGAGGCGAAUCGUGAGCUAAGACAUCUAAUGUUGAUACACCUUUCAUUAUAGAUUGGUCCUCGUAACACCAUUGGGAAUGUUCUUUUAAAUGAGGAAAUUUAGUCAUCGCAAAAGAGGUAUGUUAUCCCUUUUAUUUGGUUAUAUGAGGAGCUGGAUGUCCAUAAAAUAGAGAUUGCAGGAGAGCUAAUUAUCAAGUAACAAUAUUUUGAACAAAGGAAACAACAACAAGAGCAUAAUACAAGUGGGUCAGAGCUAUAUACAAUUGAUAAAAAGGUUUCAUACAUGGAGUGUCAUGAAAAUAAUAGACCCAUUUAUGUUUAUGUGCUAAGCCUGCUAAAGUUAACAAAAAAAAAAAAAAAAAAAAGAUGGCCAGGAUUGCACCUCUAGACUUGCAGAAGGUAUUUCUGUGAGAAGCUUUCUUGCUACUUUUGUGUUCUCUUUAUUACGCGAUGGAUUUCUCGAAUCCUACUCAAGAGAGAGAUAUUCAAAAGCUUAAGUGUUAACUUGAUGAAGGAUGGAUCGUUGUUGCUUGGGGAUGGGUUGACUGGUGAAAUUAUCGUAGUUUGAGGUAACGAAGUCCAUCGUAUUCUUUCAUUUUUUUUUGUCUUCAGGCUGAAGGGGUUUGCAUGACGGGCUUAGGGGAGUUUCUUGGGAAAGGAUUAUGGAUUCAAACUUUGUUUUAAGAUGCAUGUAUAUCUAUAAUUUUGACUUUUAGGUCCAAAGGGCUAGAAAACAACAAGGCUCUUAUGUAAAUUUGAUUCCUCAUGAUUGAAGAAUUUCAUAUUUUUGUUAUGAAUUUUAAAAGGAGUUGCAUUAAAAGUU
Helianthus annuus (common sunflower) is the source of this 1548-nucleotide long non-coding RNA. RefSeq lists it as uncharacterized. NCBI's taxonomy places the organism in Eukaryota, Viridiplantae, Streptophyta, Magnoliopsida, Asterales, Asteraceae. The record is from RefSeq and is a predicted model, not a curated record. The transcript is spliced from 2 exons.